This 81-nucleotide small nucleolar RNA is filed under the name Cicer arietinum (chickpea). RNAcentral describes it as "Small nucleolar RNA R12". It matches the Rfam family "Small nucleolar RNA R12". From Rfam's summary of the family: snoR12 is a C/D box small nucleolar RNA, which acts as a methylation guide for 25S ribosomal RNA in plants. snoR12 has been alternatively named snoZ44 in Arabidopsis and snoZ131 in rice. The record is from Rfam by way of RNAcentral. Lineage: Eukaryota; Viridiplantae; Streptophyta; Magnoliopsida; Fabales; Fabaceae.
UGUUGAAUGAUGAAAAAAAAUCAAUCGGAUUCCCAUUGAUAUUUUUAUAGAUGAGAUUACAACCAGCUACUUCUGACAACA